Long non-coding RNA from Cygnus olor (mute swan), 2808 nucleotides. RefSeq lists it as uncharacterized. The transcript is spliced from 4 exons. Lineage: Eukaryota; Metazoa; Chordata; Aves; Anseriformes; Anatidae. The record is from RefSeq and is a predicted model, not a curated record.
UGCAUGCAUUAUCUAAUUGCAUGAGCUUAUAUUAGUCCUUCCCAGAGGGCCUGUGGCUCAUAAUGCAGGGGACAGACAAAUAACCACUGUGUGAGAAGCUGUUCAAUAUUUUACCUUCUCCUCUCUGUUUGUGUGGUCCCAGGCUUAUUCGCUGAACACCAUUCACUUCCUGCUGAAGUGAGCAGUGCGGGUGUCUCUCUCAGUGGGAGCUGACAAUUUGAUGAUACUUCAUCAGCGUGGGACUCCUGCUGAGAAGUAGAUUGAGACAAAGGAAAUGCCUCUCACUAUUGGAACAAAUAAGAAAUCAGAUUUUCUAAGUUAUUGCUAGUCAUUAAUCUUACCAGCAGAAUGACAGUCCUCAGAAAAAAAACAAACAAAAACACCAGGCUGGGACUCAGGAGCUGUACUAAAAUGCUGGUUUCACCAGAGACUUCCUGCAAACCUCAGGUAGAUGCUCUCUCAGGAGACCAUGGGAGAACGCUGUAGCACCAGCAACAUCAGUCUUGCUGGUGGAAGUAACCUGCCCUCCAUCUCUGGGGCUUUGUGCUUGGAUCCCACUGACCCGCAGACACACAUCUGUGUUUUCUGUACUCCCUUGAGAUCUUUCUUGGAUGCCAAGUCCUGAACAGCCUGCAGUACAGGCCACGGCUCAUGAUGUCCAGCUGACUUCUACUGCCAUAAACAGGAUGAUAUUUGUUUAAUUUAGUGAAAUAAAUGCCUCUCCUAGCUGUUUGGAAAGCAAAUCCCUCCUUACCCUCCAGCUGGUAUUUGCUGUACUUGAGUGAGACUGGUAAAAAGCUUGGGUUAUAAUUGAAUGCUGCUAUGUUUGUGUAGAACCAACAAGCUUUCUUAAUGCUUCUUAGGUCUUUUUAAGCCAAGGAACUGCUCUUUUCCUUGCUGGAGCUCUCCAGUGCUCUAACAGCAUUGCACAUAGCAGAUCUUCAAACAGGGACAGCAAGCAAAACUGAAGCAGCAGGUACUGCCGCAGAGCAUAAUAAUACAUUUGUGCAGGACUUUACAGAGCUUUCUGAAGUUCCUCACAACAGUCACACAGUACCUCUUCAGUAUUUACCAACAAGAACUGCCUAUGGUCCUGCUAGCACAGCGCUACUAAAUGGUAGAGCCAUGGUCCCCGCCUAGGCCUUCUCUUUUCUGUAGGUCUUUGCUAUAAUCCUUAUCCCAACGUGAAAAAUUUGGACUUUACUGUUAGCAGGCAUCCGGACACUUCUACAGAUAUCCAUGCUGACAGACUCCUGAGAGACUAUUUAUAAUUCCAGUGCUUUUGAGCGCAAUGAUGUUUUUUCCAUUGCCUUCAGCAGCAGCAGGAGCAAGUGUUAGUACUGAGAAAAACUGCAGAGAUAUGAGGCCAGAACGAGUGGUGAUUAAAUGAGUAGAAGCUUUCAAACAGGACUGAGACCCAAAGUCCCAGAUUUUUUGCCUCUUCUCAUCCAGCUCCACAGAGAGUAAGUUAAUAGAAAUAUGCAUGCUUUGGAAUGUAGUACAUAUUUCCUCCUUUCAAAAUUUAUGUACGUCUACUAAUUUAUUCUCUUCAAUGAUGACAAGAGGAAUUCAGGCUGAUGGCUGGCGCUAUACCAUAUUAAUUGCUUGCUUUGCAAAAAACAUCUGUGCUACAGGGCCAAGUUCUGUCUUCUGCUUCUAGUUGCCUUAAUUCUAUGUAUAUUCCCAUAUGUCCUUCAGUCUCUUCUUCUUACUCUUCCCUCCAAAUUUCCCCUUCACUUCAGUGCCUCUCAUAUUUUAUGGGCUGUCUGAUCACAUGCCUAAGUCAAAGAGAUUUCUUCCAAAUGUUUGCUUUCAUUCACAGCUCCCAGUUCAUGUUAGGGGAGAACUGUAGAUAAAGGAGUGAAAAAGAUGCAUUGCUUACAUGUGAUCUUAAGUCAUCUUAAUUAAGACGACUUCCUCAUGAGGAACACUCCUUAGAAAUGUCUAUGGUCUGCAGAGAACCCAGUUGUUAAAUGAAAAACAUGCUAGAAGACCACCACAACUUUAGCCAGUAACUAACAACUCACUCUGCCUCCAGGGUUUAACUGAUGGAUAUUCUAGAGAGCCCACUGUUGCCGUAUGUGAGAAUAAAUCAUGCUUCAAUUAUUGCAUCUUAUAGCCAAUUGCAGCACAGGGAACAUGCUUUGCCAGCAGCUGUUAUCAGCAUACUUGGAAUUCUUGACCAAGAUCAUUGAAAACCCAAUAUGAGAACGAAAGGCUACAAAUUAUAUCCAUAGUAUGUUAAAGUUAAGACAGUAGGCUGUAAAAUAAAGAGAAAUCUCUCUAUUAGAUAGAGCUGUCUCAGAGUCACUUCUUCCUUUAGAAAUCAUGAUCUACACAGUUUCAUAAAUCGAUGAAAGGAUUUUGACCAUUAAACUUAAUUGAUACUGAAUUUAAAGGCAUGAACUUAAAUCAUUUUGCCAUUUUCUUUGACAAUUAGUUUUUGGCAUUGCAUUCCUCUCUAUCACUAUAUGAAGCAAAAAAUCACAAGUACUGAGGAAGCAAGAUUAGCAUGUAGGAAAGAUGAAGCACUGUGAGAAGCGACAUCUGGGGCAAUGCAAAAGAUGUUUCAAGGAGUGUAAACAGGCAGAAGUAAAAACAAAAUAAAACCUGACUUUUAAGUAAAAUCAGCAACAACUUGGAUUUAUAUAGUGCUCCAUAUGUUCUAGAUGAAUAACACCCAAGGCGUUUUAGAGUGAAGUAAGGUAGGAAGCACGCUCAAGGCGAGAAAGUAAGAAAAUAAUUAAAUUUCUUGAAAAUGUUUUCAGCUUUGAGUAGGUGUAAUUCUUCCUUUUAGAUGGCUGUUGG